CGAUCGGCCGCGCGGGCUGGGGGCGAGGCUGCGGAAUCCCGAGCCGCGGAUGGCGCGUCGGGGCGGGGGAGGCAGCGCUGCCGGGACACGACGGGGUUAAGCUGGGUCGGCCGCCAUUUUGGAUGGCGGGGAGGGCCCAGUUGGGUUUGCCUUCAUGGACAGCAGCAACCAUCACCUGUCUGCCAUGGCAAUAGAUGCCUCUGCUUGCUCCAGAUGUCCUUCUCCUGCAGACCAGAGAACACCUCUUGCUAAAAGGAACAUUGAAACAGAAGAAUAGAAAUAAUCACUGGACCAUUUAAUGUAACCUUGUGUAUCACGUGAUGCAGGAGUUACUUAAUGAAAUUCCCUGGCCCAAACCAAGCAAAUCUGUGGUAAAUCUAGAGCACAUUUUUUCGGAUGACAGCCAAAAUGAUGAAAGGAAUUUACUACCCGGCCUCGCUAAUCAUUUUGAAUGCUUAACUGGGCUCCCUAAUAUGCUGCUUUGCAAGCAGCAAAACUUAUACAUCCUCAUUCCCUACACAUUUCUCCAGCCUUCCCCAGGCUGUGCACCUGAAAAAACCUCCCAGCACCCUGCCAGCCCUGUCCAGGGGCAGGGUGGCCAGCUGUGCCUGCUGUGAGUGCUGGAUGGCCAGCUGCCCACCUCUGGGAAGAGACCUCUGCAGGCCCGAACCUCUGCUGCCUCUCCCUUCAAAGCAUGUGGGUUUGGGACUUGCUCUUUGCUCAGCUUAUUUAAAAAUCUGGAGAAAAGAGUUCUGCCCCAUCAGCUUUGGAAAUAGUUGUUUAACAUGGUAGAGAACAAGCUGAGCCUGCGUAACCCAAGACAACCAAUUCCUUUAGCAGAAAGAGUAUCUUCUGUCAUCAAAAAGAGCCAUCUGGAAGAGCGUUGGCUCCCUGCCAGGAACAACCCGUUAGCAACUGCUCAACAUGCACUUUAAGUUAUAAUGUUCAUAACGGCACAACCUGGAGUGUUGGUAAAGGGCCUAUUGGAGGAGCAACGUAUUCCUCCUCCCGCAGUAACCGCAAAAGGAUGUUCUUCUUAUUCUUUGGCCAGUUAUAAAUGUGGGUGUUCUGCAGCCAGGUAGGCACGUGUUCCUGAAAAAAUAAGGAAAUAAACACUAAAUCCUGUAAAUCCUCCUGAAUCUGUACCAGAACCUUGCAGAUUCUGUCAGGCCCUGCCAAGCAAGAUUUCAUUUUGUCUGUUCUAGGCACUUCCCGUAACAACAAGAAAUUUUAAUUUGGCUUCAGAAUUGUAUUUGGGUUCCUAAAUAAAUGAACUUUGUGUGAUCUCACA
Long non-coding RNA from Neopelma chrysocephalum (saffron-crested tyrant-manakin), 1291 nucleotides. RefSeq lists it as uncharacterized. Lineage: Eukaryota; Metazoa; Chordata; Aves; Passeriformes; Pipridae. The transcript has 4 exons. The record is from RefSeq and is a predicted model, not a curated record.